AACGAACGCUGGCGGCGUGUUUAAGACAUGCAAGUCGCACGGGACCCCAUGAGUAGCAAUACAAGUGUGGUUUAGUGGCGCACGGGUGAGUAACACGUGAAUCACAUGCCCUUCAGUGGGGGAUAGCCCAGGGAAACUUGGAUUAAUACCCCAUGGACUCGCAAGAGUAAAGGCGGCCGCAAGGCUGUCGCUGGAGGAUUGGUUCGCGCCCUAUCAGCUUGUUGGCGGGGUAACGGCCCACCAAGGCUACGACGGGUACCUGGUCUGAGAGGACGAUCAGGCACACUGGAACUGAGACACGGUCCAGACACCUACGGGUGGCAGCAGUCGAGAAUAAUUCACAAUGGGGGCAACCCUGAUGGUGCAACGCCGCGUGGAGGAUGACGGUCCUCGGAUUGUAAACUCCUGUCAUCCGGGAGUAAGACCUGGCUGUGAAUAGCAGACAGGGUUGAUAGUACCGGAAGAGGAAGGGACGGCUAACUUCGUG
This 487-nucleotide ribosomal RNA is filed under the name uncultured bacterium. Its description in RNAcentral is "bacterial SSU rRNA". It matches the Rfam family "Bacterial small subunit ribosomal RNA", at positions 29 to 507 of the family's 1533-position model. The record is from RNAcentral.